GACGAACGCUGGCGGCGUGCUCAACACAUGCAAGUCGAACGGAAAGGCCCUGCUUUUGUGGGGUGCUCGAGUGGCGAACGGGUGAGUAACACGUGAGUAACCUGCCCUUGACUUUGGGAUAACUUCAGGAAACUGGGGCUAAUACCGGAUAGGAGCUCCUGCUGCAUGGUGGGGGUUGGAAAGUUUCGGCGGUUGGGGAUGGACUCGCGGCUUAUCAGCUUGUUGGUGGGGUAGUGGCUUACCAAGGCUUUGACGGGUAGCCGGCCUGAGAGGGUGACCGGCGACAUUGGGACUGAGAUACGGCCCAGACUCCUACGGGAGGCAGCAGUGGGGAAUAUUGCACAAUGGGCGGAAGCCUGAUGCAGCAACGCCGCGUGCGGGAUGACGGCCUUCGGGUUGUAAACCGCUUUCGCCUGUGACGAAGCGUGAGUGACGGUAAUGGGUAAAGAAGCACCGGCUAACUACGUG
Molecule: ribosomal RNA, 468 nt
Filed under: uncultured bacterium
Lineage: Bacteria
Description: partial 16S ribosomal RNA
Rfam family: Bacterial small subunit ribosomal RNA
Source: RNAcentral